Molecule: small nucleolar RNA, 168 nt
Organism: Impatiens glandulifera
Lineage: Eukaryota; Viridiplantae; Streptophyta; Magnoliopsida; Ericales; Balsaminaceae
Product: small nucleolar RNA snoR143
Exons: 1
Source: RefSeq, a predicted model, not a curated record
UCGCACUCUGCAUACUAAGCUUCUUCAUAUUUUAUAUUGAAGAUGGCUAUGAGUUAGGGUUUGCGUAUAGAAAUGCUGUUAGAUCAGCAGCGGCCAGACAACCGUAAAGAUGGAUCCACAGAUGAUGCGCUUUUUUUGCUCACUGUCUACUAAAUUCAUCUUACAUUC